Thunnus maccoyii (southern bluefin tuna) is the source of this 1059-nucleotide long non-coding RNA. RefSeq lists it as uncharacterized. The record is from RefSeq and is a predicted model, not a curated record. Lineage: Eukaryota; Metazoa; Chordata; Actinopteri; Scombriformes; Scombridae. The transcript has 4 exons.
GAGCUGCAGAGCCCUCUCCUUUCCCUAACCCCCGCUCAUUGACUCCAUGGGCAGAAGAAAAAGCAAAUCAACGUUGUUUAUGAGGUAUUUUUAUAUAUUUCUCGAGUACUGCUCAUCCAAACAACUUGACACUCAACACUGCACUUCCUUGAGUCCCCAAUAAUACAUCCGCCAGGUAUGAAGUAGAUCAGAUUAACAGUUUUCAAGAUAUGCAAAGGACAAACAUACAUACAGAUAGACAGACAGAGAUUCCUUGCUUUAUAUAGAGUGAUUGGGUGGGUUUGAACCGGGAUUGUGCAGAAAAUUGUCAGUGCAGGUUUAUCCAUGAAUGAGGAUGGAGAGGAGGUGACACUGGGUGAGAAGAUGAUGACCUGCAAGAAUGACAUCAGCAAGGCUGAUACUGAAGCCAAGCAGGCCCAAAAUGACCCUGAAGCAUGCCCAGCAUGCUGAAGACCAAGCACACAGGGGUGAAAAAGAUGGACAGCGGCUAUAAGAAGGAUCAGAACUCCCUGCAGGCUGUGAGAAGCAGCAGGGAGCAACCACAGGCUGGGCUAGCCAAACUAUCAAGGCACCAUAUGGGAAGGAGGAGAGUCUGCUGGACCAAAGAAGCCAGCCAACCAUGAAGAAACUGCAAGAGGAACUAUCAUCAUACCUGGAGCACAAGAAACUGAUGCGUGAGAUCCAGCACUUGUCUCAGAUGAGGAGGUCAAGAGAGGUCACUAAUCUUAAAGAGACGUAUGAGCGUCUUCCGACACUCAUGGCUAUUUUCAUCUUAUAACAAAUGCAAACACCAACAGACAAUAAACAAGGUUGUAGCCUAUUUUGUAUCAUAAAAAAUAUAAAAAAUGACAAUAUAAUAAAUCUCAACAGUGCAAACACCGGCAUCUAAUGAAGCCAGAGCGCUCACACCAUCUCCAGAGGCAAGUAGGCUUAUUGCGAAACACUACACAAACAUGUGUAGACCCAUCUCUGAAAACAAAACUAUUUAUUUGAAAACGAAUAUCUAAAGCCUAAUUAGCAUGGCAGAAGAAUGUUUUAUCAAUAAAUGAUCGCAAUUUA